RNAcentral lists this ribosomal RNA (440 nucleotides) under uncultured bacterium. Its description in RNAcentral is "partial 16S ribosomal RNA". It matches the Rfam family "Bacterial small subunit ribosomal RNA", at positions 338 to 795 of the family's 1533-position model. The record is from RNAcentral.
CCUACGGGUGGCUGCAGUGGGGAAUAUUGCACAAUGGGGGCAACCCUGAUGCAGCAACGCCGCGUGAGUGAAGAAGUAUUUCGGUAUGUAAAGCUCUUUCAGCCGGGACGAGAAUGACGGUAGCUGCCUAAGAAGCACCGGCUAACUACGUGCCAGCAGCCGCGGUAAUACGUAGGGGGCGAGCGUUGUCCGGAUUUACUGGGAGUAAAGGGAGCGUAGGCGGUUCUGUAAGUUAGAAGUGAAAGGCCGUGGCUUAACCGCGGAACGGCUAUGGUGACUGUGUAACUGGAGUGCUGGAGAGGCUAGCGGAAUACCUAGUGUAGCGGUGAAAUGCGUAGAUAUUAGGAAGAACACCAGUGGCGAAGGCGGCUUGCUGGACAGUAACUGACGUUGAGGCUCGAAAGCGUGGGGAGCAAACAGGAUUAGAUACCCUGGUAGUC